Molecule: long non-coding RNA, 6612 nt
Organism: Musa acuminata AAA Group (dessert banana)
Lineage: Eukaryota; Viridiplantae; Streptophyta; Magnoliopsida; Zingiberales; Musaceae
Exons: 3
Source: RefSeq, a predicted model, not a curated record
UUGCAACGACCGGAAUCAGGGUUCUCGUCUCCGGACGAUACGAUGGCUCGGAGGUCCUCCUCCUCGAGCUGCCACCGGUACCUCCACUCCGCCUACUACCUUAGGCACCCGAUGCGGCUCGCCUUCGUCUUCGUCAUCUUCGUUAUUGCCAUCUGGGAUUGGCCUUCCCUACCUAAUCCGGGAGCAUGAGAUUUGAAGUUCUCGGUAAUUGGAUCAUCUUAUAUUGCUUGCCUAUAAAAACCUACACACCAGAUUUCUUUACCUUUAAUGAGAAAAAAAAGAAGAAAAAGGCUGGAACAAGAACGGUCUAUCUGUGGAGCCAUCAUUUCUUCUAUGUUGGUUGGAACUGGAGAGCCCCUUAACUUUUCUGGUAAGCAUUGCAACCAUCGUCUUGAAAAUUGGAGAACAUGUUAUUUGGGGAUGCAAAAGGCAUGAUUUCAGUUCAAUAAAUUGAUAAAGUGGCUCCUUUGCAAUGUGUGAACUCCUCUACCAGAAACACAUUUCAAGAUUUAAGAGGACCGAUUGCACGAUCAUGUAAAAUUCAAUGUUUAUGUAUUCGUCUAUCGUUCCUUUAGUUUAGUGAUGUUUGAAGGUUGCUCUACUGAUGUUUCCCUGUGGCUACAGAAAGUAGAGGGGUGGUGGUCAUGCGGGGCGAAGUUUCCUCUGGUACAAAUGACAAACUUAUCGAUGAAUUUGAUCUUGUUAACAAUCAACGCAGAGAAAAGGUUAAGGCGACUACGCUUCUUUCUGGUUUGUUUUGAAUACAAUAGCCUCUCAAGGCUAUAGUUUCAUUUUUAUUUAUGAACUAACUUCUUUUCUUGGCUUUUCAAUCUUAAGAUUCAAUUGUAAUUACGUGAUGUCUUUCCCUCUAUGACCGGUCGCAAUCAAAGAGUGGUGUGAAUAGUUUUUGUGGUCUUGGAGCAACCCUUGUGGACUCUCUCCAUGCACUAUGUUGGGGUUCUUUUUAACAUAUCAAAUAUGGAUCAAAUAAUUGUUUUAUAGAAUCAAAACCGAAUAGAUCCAAAAUAAUGGAUUAAGAAUGUUUCCAUAAAACUUAUUUAAUCCACUAUAAUAUGUAUGAAAUCCUACAAUAAUUGAUAAACAUAUUAACACGGAAGCGUACCUGAUGAAUCCAUUAGAGUAUUUUCUGAAUUGAUUGGUGAUUUGGUCUUCCAAUUGCAGAGUACCUUUUGAACUUUAGAUUUCUCCUUGACGGGUGAAGAGAAACUUCAUUCGAUACUGCAACCGGGGACCAUAACCUUAUUUAUAGUCAUAACUGAUGAAUCUACAAUUAUGAUUGUAUUCAUAAUUGAUGAAUCUGCAAUUAUGCCUCAAGAGUUUCAUAUUCCUAACUUAUCUCGUCAUUAAGUUAGGAACAUGAUGGUAUCCACACAAUUAAUUUUCAUAACAAUUAUGUCCCUUAGCCAAAUAACUUUACUUUAAUUGGAUCACUUUAAUUUUGGCUAAUCAAAAUAAUGGCUUAACACAUUUAAUUAUACAUGUGUGACCCUUAAAAUUCCAACAAUCUCCCACUGAGUCACAUAUGUAUCCUUAUAAAUGUGUUAUACUUUAUGAGCUCAAAACUGUUGCCAUUAUUAAACAGGACAUACAAAACAAUCUCGUCCAUUGACCAUAUUAAUAUAGGACCAAAGCGAUUUUCGCUAUAUCAAUCAUAGCUAAACCCAUCAAUGAUCACUAAUAUUAACAUAACCAAAUGACAUAGAUCAAUUAUGAAAUGUGUAGCAUGAAAAUUACAUGAAUGUGAUCUGUACAUGUCAAUUUUCAACUGGUCCAACUUUAUCUUUAUGAGAUCAUUAAUAACUUUAAUAGCCAUAAUGUACAAAGUAUAAUAAACUGAAGCUUUAUUUCUGAUCAGAAAAUGUCUGUACAAAUACAGUAUCUGGCAUAGAACAUACAACAAACAUAUGACAGGCUCCCACUAAACUGAAGUUUCCUCAAAUUCUGAUAUACCCAUAUGAGCAGUAUGCUCAUGAAAAACCUUGAGUGGUACAUCUUUUGUGAGAGGAUCUGCCAUAAAGUUUGUUCCUAAGUGUUCUAUAGAAAUUUAUUUACUUUGUACCUUUUCUUUCACAACUAGGAACUUGAUGUCAAUGUGCUUUGACUUAGUCGAGCUCCUAUUGUUAUUAGAGUAUAAAACACCUGAUUUAUUGUCAUAGUAUAUCUUUAGUGGUCUUUCAAUCCCUUAUACUAUUUGCAGCUCUGUGACAAAAUUUCUCAGCCAAAUUCCAUGGUUGGAUGCCUCAAAACAUGCUACAAAUUCCGCUGCCAUAGUGGAAGAAGCAAUAAGAGAUUGCUUGGCACUACGCCAAGAAAUCGCCCCACCAGCCAACAUAUAAAUGUAGCCCGAAGUGAAUUUUCUACUGUCUUGGCAUCCAACAAAAUCGGAGUCAGAAUACCCAAUGAUCUCCAAAUGGUCUGAUCUCCUAUAUGUGAGCAUAUGAUCUUUUGUCCUCUUUAAAUAUCUCAUGACUCUUUUAGCUACCUUCCAGUGAUCCAUUCCAGGAUUGCUUAAGUAUCUACCUAACACUCCAACAAUGUACGCUAUAUCCGGAUACAUACAAAUCUGUGCAUAUAUUAGACUUCCUACAGUUGAUGCAUGGGGAAUCUUAUGCAUUUCUUAAGUUUCCAAAUUUCUUUUAGGAUACUGAUUGAGGUUUUUCAUGUAUUAGAUACAUGUAUCCAUAUCUAGAGUAAUCGUCUAUGAAUGAUAUGAAGUAUUGUUGACCAUUCCAUGAAGGUGUAGGAAAUGGUCCACAAAUAUCUGUAUGUAUCAAUUCUAAGACGUCCGUAGCUCUAUAUGCACCUGAUCUCUUAGGUUUGGUUUGUUUACCUUUAAUGCAUUCAACACAAACAUCUAGACCUGAUAAGUCAAUGGGAUCAAGAAUCCCAUCUGACACAAGUCUUUCAACUCUAUUUCUAGAGAUAUGACCCAAACGUUUAUGCCAUAAUAUACCAGAAUUUUCAAUUUUACAUUUAGUACCUCGCAAUUCCGCAUUCAAGGUUUCAUGAUAGGAUGCUAUAGUAUCAAGUAAAUAUAGAUUGUCAUAAGUCAUAAGUGAACCAGUUCCAAUCAUAUUUGAAUUUAAAGACAAAGUAAACUGAUUGUUUCUAAAUGAACAAGAAUAACCAGAUUUGUCCAAAUAAGAAACAGAAAUUAAGUUUCGUCUAACCAACGGUAUAACAAAAGUGUCUUUUAAAUUCAAAUAAUAUCCAGUACACAAUAACAAUCUAAAUGUGCCUAUAGCUUCCACAUCUACCGAUUUUCCGUCCCCCACAUAAAUGCUUCUCUCAGCAUUAUUAGGCCUUCGGUAGCUUAGGCAACCUUGCAUUGAUACACUGAUGUUAGUUGUUGCACUGGAGUCUAACCACCAAAUGUUUCUAGGUACUGAAGUUAAAUUGAUUUCUGAACAAACCAAAGUAAGGAAUAUUCCCUUUUUAGCAUGCCAAGUAUGAUAUUUAGCACAGUCCUUCUUUAAAUGCCCAGAUUUCUUGCAGAAGAAACAAGUAUCAUCAUUAUUUUGUUUCUUCUGUACUGGGUCCUUAUCAGCCACAUUCUUUCCAUAUUUGUAUUUUCUUUUCUUGCCCUUAAAGUUGGUUUCGUUUAAAACCAGUACUGAAUUGAGGUUAGCAGAUAAUUUUAUAAGAGAACCUAAAUAAGAGAACAACAGAUAAUCAGAAAUUAUGCUCAUAUUUAUUACCAUAAACUUAAGUAAAUUUAAAUAAUGAUUUAACCCAUCUCAAGAUACCAAGUGCAACAUUAAUAUCUUGUCUUUGGAUUUCAAUAUUAAUUGCUAGUGGUAGUCUUGUUGUAAUGAUCAAAUACUGAUAAUAAGGCAUGUCAAAUGAAAAACCCAUCUUUGGAUUGAUUUAUCAUUUACAUGUAUCACUUUAUAAUUAUCACGUAUUUACCAUUAUAAGUAUGUAUAAAAUCCUGCCAGUCAUUAACCUUCCUUUGGGCCGGAUAAUUACCGCAUGGAUGUAAAUACGCACUACAUUUAAUAUUUUCAUGAGAAAUGUUAUAUAUGAGAGGUCACUUUGGCGACUUCAUAUAUUAAAUUACUCAAUCUAAUAUUAAACAAUCACUAAUUGAAUUUAGACCAUAUUAGUCAAAUUGGCUUGAUCUUAAUUUGUUGACUAAAAUAUUUAAAACAUGUAAAUCAUUCAAUUUAUGUCAACAAACAACUUUAUAGAACCAAUACUAUGUUUAAUCCAACAUAAUAUUGCAACAAUAUUAUUAAACCAACAUAAUAUUGCAACAAUAUCUAAUUAAUUAAAUUCAUAUUAAUUAGAUAAAAUCCAAAAAGAAUUUGGAAAAUUUAUUCCUUGUAGUGCAAAAAUGAAUUUUUUGCAUAUUGAUGAAUAGGAAAAGACACGAAGUGGAAAAGAUAAUCCAAAAUUAAACUGAUAUCAUAUCAGAAAAAGGCAUUGAAUUGAAUGUGAAGCAUGCUGUAGCAUGAUUACAUAAAACCAUAAUCUUUUCCAACGAUAGAACCAAAUCACUUCAAAAUAGCAUGAUUACAUAAAACUAUCAUCUUUUCCAACGAUAAUAGAACCAAAUCACUUCAAAAUAUUGAUGAAAACAUCAUUAAAAUAUAUGAGAAAAUAAGCUUAAAUGUUCAUCAAUCAUUGUAGGAUGGCUCUGAUACCAUUUGUUGGGGUUCUUUUUAACAUAUCAAAUAUGGAUCAAAUAAUUGUUUUAUAGAAUCAAAACCGAAUAGAUCCAAAAUAAUGGAUUAAGAAUGUUUCCAUAAAACUUAUUUAAUCUACUAUAAUAUGUAUGAAAUCCUACAAUAAUUGAUAAACAUAUUAACACGGAAGCGUACCUGAUGAAUCCAUUAGAGUAUUUUCUGAAUUGAUUGGUGAUUUGGUCUUCCAAUUGCAGAGUACCUUUUGAACUUUAGAUUUCUCCUUGACGGGUGAAGAGAAACUUCAUUCGAUACUGCAACCGGGGACCAUAACCUUAUUUAUAGUCAUAACUGAUGAAUCUACAAUUAUGAUUGUAUUCAUAAUUGAUGAAUCUGCAAUUAUGCCUCAAGAGUUUCAUAUUCCUAACUUAUCUCGUCAUUAAGUUAGGAACAUGAUGGUAUCCACACAAUUAAUUUUCAUAACAAUUAUGUCCCUUAGCCAAAUAACUUUCCUUUAAUUGGAUCACUUUAAUUUUGGCUAAUCAAAAUAAUGGCUUAACACAUUUAAUUAUACAUGUGUGACCCUUAAAAUUCCAACAUGCUUGCCUAUAAAAACCUACACACCAGAUUUCUUUACCUUUAAUGAGAACAAAAAAAAAAAAGGCUGGAACAAGAAUGGUCUGUCUGUGGAGCCAUCAUUUCUUCUAUGUUGGUUGGAACUGGAGAGCCCCUUAACUUUUCUGGUAAGCAUUGCAACCAUCGUCUUGAAAAUUGGAGAACAUGUUAUUUGGGGAUGCAAAAGGCAUGAUUUCAGUUCAAUAAAUUGAUAAAGUGGCUCCUUUGCAAUGUGUGAACUCCUCUACCAGAAACACAUUUCAAGAUUUAAGAGGACCGAUUGCACGAUCAUGUAAAAUUCAAUGUUUAUGUAUUCGUCUAUCGUUCCUUUAGUUUAGUGAUGUUUGAAGGUUGCUCUACUGAUGUUUCCCUGUGGCUACAGAAAGUAGAGGGGUGGUGGUCAUGCGGGGCGAAGUUUCCUCUGGUACAAAUGACAAACUUAUCGAUGAAUUUGAUCUUGUUAACAAUCAACGCAGAGAAAAGGUUAAGGCGACUACGCUUCUUUCUGGUUUGUUUUGAAUACAAUAGCCUCUCAAGGCUAUAGUUUCAUUUUUAUUUAUGAACUAACUUCUUUUCUUGGCUUUUCAAUCUUAAGAUUCAAUUGUAAUUACGUGAUGUCUUUCCCUCUAUGACCGGUCGCAAUCAAAGAGUGGUGUGAAUAGUUUUUGUGGUCUUGGAGCAACCCUUGUGGACUCUCUCCAUGCACUAUACGUAAUGGGUCUAAAAGAUGAAUUUGAGAAGGCUAGAGAGAGGACGCUGUGACCUCCAACGACGCGGUCCACACGUGCGAGGCUAAAAUGGGCGUGGCCAGCACUUGGGCGCUGCACCCGAGUCGGGUGUGUCAGGGCCUGCAGUUGGCACGCCUUGGGGGGACCUCCUCCUCCACCACCACCACGAUGGCGUCAGGCGUACGGACGGCUGCAGCGGAGCAGGUACGGCGGCUCGUCCGCCCUUCCGUGGAAACACGGACAGGAGCAAGUGACGCGUCGGAGUCACGUGAGCCGAGAUGCGGUCCGUCGUCGGCCUCCUCGGGCAAGCCCACCACCAACCUGCUGCUGCUCGCGAUACGGCUACCUCGCGUGAAACCGACGGCGGCCGUGGGAGUAGGUGGCGUGUUGGCGUCACGUGAUGGGCGCAACAUGACUGCUACUACGUACGGUCGUAAGUGGAUCUUACCUCCCACGUGCGAGGCAGGUCUCUGAUCCAGUAUUUGGACUGCUGCAUCUACCGAAAGGGAAUGCGUCGAUGAAUGAUGGUCCAUAUUAGAAUGCGUAUAAUCCUAAUCUCUGUAUAAUUCCAAUGCAAGCAGACACAUUUGAUGCAUAACUUGCAACGUGUUCUCUUACACGAA